This 400-nucleotide ribosomal RNA is filed under the name uncultured bacterium. RNAcentral's name for it is "bacterial SSU rRNA". It matches the Rfam family "Bacterial small subunit ribosomal RNA", at positions 355 to 747 of the family's 1533-position model. The record is from RNAcentral.
UGGGGAAUCUUCCGCAAUGGGCGAAAGCCUGACGGAGCAACGCCGCGUGAACGAUGAAGGUCUUAGGAUCGUAAAGUUCUGUUGUUAGGGACGAAGGGUAAGAAUCAUAAUAAGGUUUUUAUUUGACGGUACCUAACGAGGAAGCCACGGCUAACUACGUGCCAGCAGCCGCGGUAAUACGUAGGCGGCAAGCGUUGUCCGGAAUUAUUGGGCGUAAAGGGAGCGCAGGCGGGAAACUAAGCGGAUCUUAAAAGUGCGGGGCUCAACCCCGUGAUGGGGUCCGAACUGGUUUUCUUGAGUGCAGGAGAGGAAAGCGGAAUUCCCAGUGUAGCGGUGAAAUGCGUAGAUAUUGGGAAGAACACCAGUGGCGAAGGCGGCUUUCUGGACUGUAACUGACGCU